CGUCUUUGUUGCCCCCUUUGCCCCCUUCCCCCACAGUAAACCCCACAUGGAACUGUAUUGGCCUGGUGUGGUCUACCAGGAUGUGAGCCUCAAAUCUAGCACAAUAGUAAUAGCUUUGGGUUAUUUUUUUUUUCUGCCCACAGCCAGGGGUUAUAGAGGUGAAUGACUCCAAAGUCCAUCCGCAACAAGCUGACAGUCCAUGGGACUCUACGCCAACUGUGAUGGCAGAAGACAAGACAGGGGAAGGUCACACAAUAGGUGUGGCAGAUCAUCACACGGAUGGACUUGCCUGGAGCAAUGGAGCCCUCUCAGUACCCGCCUGCAUGGGAUUGUUUGCAGCUGCCUGCAGAGACCCAAGACUGCUGGAGACACCCUGGAAAAGGCAUCUUAGUGUCCUGAAGCCCCUCCCAGGAAAGAGAAGAACACCCGGAAGGGGGGAGCUUGACAUCACUUAAUAAAGCCCUGUGAGUAACUCCUCUACUACCAUAGAUAACAUUGCUAAUGCCUGUUGCUCAGCGAGAGAAAAUGUCCCAGGCUACACUUUACGACAAGCAGAAAGCGUUCAAGCUGUCCUGCCAGUGCUUUAUACUAAGAGCCAAAUCCUUAUUCCUUACUUAGGCAUUUAUUGUAAUAACAUGAGUCAUGAGGCUUCACUCUGGUAUUCGUG
This is a long non-coding RNA of Mus musculus (house mouse), 667 nucleotides long. RefSeq annotates it as predicted gene, 35130. Lineage: Eukaryota; Metazoa; Chordata; Mammalia; Rodentia; Muridae. The record is from RefSeq and is a predicted model, not a curated record. The transcript is spliced from 3 exons.